This 232-nucleotide ribosomal RNA is filed under the name uncultured bacterium. RNAcentral's name for it is "partial 16S ribosomal RNA". It matches the Rfam family "Bacterial small subunit ribosomal RNA", at positions 118 to 350 of the family's 1533-position model. The record is from RNAcentral.
UGACCAACCUGCCCCUAACUCUGGGAUAACCCCGGGAAACCGGAGCUAAUACCGGAUACGAGACCGAGUGGCAUCACACGGUCUGGAAAGUUUUUCGGUUAGGGAUGGGGUCGCGGCCUAUCAGCUUGUUGGUGGGGUAAUGGCCCACCAAGGCGACGACGGGUAGCCGGCCUGAGAGGGGUGACCGGGCCACACUGGGACUGAGACACGGCCCAGACUCCUACGGGAGGCA